Molecule: long non-coding RNA, 535 nt
Filed under: Pan troglodytes (chimpanzee)
Lineage: Eukaryota; Metazoa; Chordata; Mammalia; Primates; Hominidae
Description: long non-coding RNA NONPTRT011920
Source: RNAcentral
CAGAGUGGGGCAGGUUACAGUCUGAAAUAAAGGGCUCUGAGAGCUGGGGUACAGCUCUUUGGAAAUCUGUGCAAUCCAGGCAUGGGAACAACCAUAACUCAUACACUGUGCAGGAGAGUGCAUGGGGUGUGAUGUGUGAGGAACACUGGGAGAUUGAGCAGCAAGGCCAAAAGCUGGCCGGGGAGAUACAGUCAGGGGGGUGAUAGGGAAUUAUGAAGGUCCUGAUGUCUCUGGUUUUCCCUUGGGGAGGAAGUACUCCAGGGUUCUGAGCAGGGAAUGGGAGGAUCUGACUCAUGUAUUCACAGGCUGAUGUGUGCAGAACAGACUGAAGGCAUCAGGGGCAGCAAGAGGAGACCAGGAGGCAGCUGUGACAUUGCACUCAAGAGAAAUGGUGGCAGUUUGGACUCAGUGAAAGGUAUCCUGCUGUCCAUCGGCCCGCAGCUAGUCUAUCCACCCAACCGCCCAUCAGACCUCCGGCCCACCCUCCCAGACGGAGGACAAUGCUCCGCCCUCUCUGGCCCCGCCCCCAGUCACC